RNAcentral lists this ribosomal RNA (253 nucleotides) under uncultured bacterium. Its description in RNAcentral is "partial 16S ribosomal RNA". It matches the Rfam family "Bacterial small subunit ribosomal RNA", at positions 524 to 776 of the family's 1533-position model. The record is from RNAcentral.
UACGUAGGUGACCAGCGUUGUCCGGAUUUACUGGGCGUAAAGAGCGCGCAGGCGGUCGUUCAAGUCGAGUGUGAAAGCCCCCGGCUCAACUGGGGAGGGUCACUCGAUACUGAUCGACUUGAAGGCAGGAGAGGGAAGCGGAAUUCCCGGUGUAGUGGUGAAAUGCGUAGAUAUCGGGAGGAACACCAGUGGCGAAGGCGGGUCUCUGGGCAGUAACUGACGCUGAGGAGCGAAAGCGUGGGGAGCGAACAGG